AUACGGAGGGUGCAAGCGUUGUCCGGAUUUAUUGGGUUUAAAGGGUGCGUAGGCGGUCAAUUAAGUCAGUGGUGAAAUCCUCCCGCUCAACGGGAGAACUGCCAUUGAUACUGGUUGACUUGAGUACAUACGAGGUAGGCGGAAUUUAUGGUGUAGCGGUGAAAUGCAUAGAUACCAUAAAGAACACCGAUAGCGAAGGCAGCUUACUGGACUGUAACUGACGCUGAGGCACGAAAGCAUGGGUAGCGAACAGAAUUAGAAACCCUAGUAGUCC
Molecule: ribosomal RNA, 274 nt
Filed under: uncultured bacterium
Lineage: Bacteria
Description: partial 16S ribosomal RNA
Rfam family: Bacterial small subunit ribosomal RNA
Source: RNAcentral